RNAcentral lists this ribosomal RNA (497 nucleotides) under uncultured bacterium. RNAcentral describes it as "partial 16S ribosomal RNA". It matches the Rfam family "Bacterial small subunit ribosomal RNA", at positions 28 to 507 of the family's 1533-position model. The record is from RNAcentral.
GACGAACGCUGGCGGCGUGCCUAAUACAUGCAAGUUGAGCGAUGAAGAUUGGUGCUUGCACCAAUUUGAAGAGCAGCGAACGGGUGAGUAACGCGUGGGGAAUCUGCCUUUGAGCGGGGGACAACAUUUGGAAACGAAUGCUAAUACCGCAUAACAACUUUAAACAUAAGUUUUAAGUUUGAAAGAUGCAAUUGCAUCACUCAAAGAUGAUCCCGCGUUGUACUAGCUAGUUGGUGAGGUAAAGGCUCACCAAGGCGAUGAUACAUAGCCGACCUGAGAGGGUGAUCGGCCACCUUGGGACUGAGACAAGGCCCAAACUCCUACGGGAGGCAGCAGUAGGGAAUCUUCGGCAAUGGACGAAAGUCUGACCGAGCAACGCCGCGUGAGUGAAGAAGGUUUUCGGAUCGGAAAACUCUGUUGGUAGAGAAGAACGUUGGUGAGAGUGGAAAGCUCAUCAAGUGACGGUAACUACCCAGAAAGGGACGGCUAACUACGUG